RNAcentral lists this unclassified non-coding RNA (5013 nucleotides) under Octopus sinensis (East Asian common octopus). RNAcentral describes it as "kidney mitochondrial carrier protein 1, transcript variant X3". Lineage: Eukaryota; Metazoa; Mollusca; Cephalopoda; Octopoda; Octopodidae. The record is from RNAcentral.
AAAGUAUUUGUGGAAAAUUUCUUCCAAAAAUAUCCAUUUUUUUCUAAAGUUACAAUGAAACAGUCUAUGGGGCACGUUUAUGUAGUUAUGCAUAGGACGUUUCGCUAUAAUUAGUCCGUACGUGAACUGGUACAUCACUUUCACACCAACCACGUGGACAAUAACUUCCGUCUUUGAUCUCCGCUUUAAUUAAGAAAGCACCCUUGCAUUCGUCUCGCACUUCGCAUAGCACGCUGAAAGCAGACUUUUAUCCUUAAAAGUCCUGCUUUACCCAUAAUGAGUGAUUGGAGACCGUUUGUAUAUGGUGGUUUGGCAUCAGUUACAGCUGAGUGCGGGACAUUUCCAAUUGACACCACAAAAACACGUCUUCAGGUGCAAGGGCAAGUUAUUGAUUCAAGGCUAACAGAAUGCAAGUACCGGGGUAUGUUUCAUGCCUUUGUGAGAAUCUUCCGCGAAGAAGGACUCUUAGCAUUCUAUUCAGGAAUUGGUCCUGCCAUUUUACGACAAGCUACUUAUGGAACUAUCAAAAUUGGUAUUUACCAGUCAAUGAAAAGAAUGUUUGUGUCCAACCCAAUGGAUGAAACGCUCGCUACGAAUGUUUUUUGCGGUGUUGUUGCUGGUAUAGUUUCUAGUUCUAUAGCCAAUCCUACUGACGUACUCAAAGUAAGGAUGCAAGCUAAGACCGAAAGUUUACAGACUUCAAUGUUUCAGUCUUUUAUACAAAUUUACAAGAAAGAAGGUGUUCGAGGAUUAUGGAGAGGAGUCGUUCCAACUGCCCAGAGGGCUGCUAUUGUGGCAGGAGUAGAAUUGCCUGUCUAUGAUAUCACAAAGAAACACAUCUUGAAAUCUGAAUCUAUGGAAGACCAUGCUGGAACACAUUUCGUUGCCAGUUUUACUGCUGGACUUGCUGGUGCUAUAACGUCUAACCCCAUUGAUGUUGUGAAGACUCGUUUAAUGAAUCAACGUGUUUUAAAGACGACCAACGGGACUGCUUCUGCCAUAUACACCUCUUCGCUGGACUGCAUCAUUCAAACUGCCAGAACUGAAGGCUUAAUGGCUUUUUAUAAAGGUUUUAUCCCCACGUGGAUCAGGCUUGGACCCUGGAAUAUUAUUUUUUUCCUAACAUUUGAAAAACUGAAGAAAAUUUAUUAAUUGGACUUUAGAAGAAAUGAACAAAGACAUGUCUGAUUUUCACGAAUCUCAACAAGUUUGUAAUCAGCAUCCAAGAUUAUGAACAAAGCAAUACAACAUAUCUAUUUUCAUUUGAACAUAUUUCUAGAAUCUCACAAUAUUUUUCAGAAAUUCAGGUUUUUUUUAAUUUAUUUUUUCACUUCAUUUUUCAAGCAGUUUUUUGUCAAACGGUCAAGUUCACUUUUGAUGCUUACGAGUUCAGCUUUUUGUUAUUGUGGAGUUUUGCAAUUCUUGCCGCCAAAUACCAACGUUAUGAUGUAAGCCGAUGUCUUUUACAGUACGUAGCAUACAUGGAUUGAUAAAUAUGAUUGAUUUACUGGAUAAUGUCAUUUCUUUCUACAUUCACCUCAUCAUUCAAACAAACAUUUUCAAAUGUUGCCAUCAAUUUCUUCCUUAAACUUCGUUAAGCCCAAUAAUCCCACCUGUCUUGUUACCUCAUUUGUACCUGCCUCAGCAAAAUUCUGUCACAUUGCACUUCCAUCAAUGUCUCCUUCAUUCAUCCUACACUUUAUCGUCACCGUAAAAGUCGAUUCCUUUUACACCAUCAUUCUUCAUGACAUCAGUCUCAAAGUUCUUUAUUUGACCCCUGCACUGCACUCAAUCCCUCCACUGUCACAUCACUGAUCUUCCCAUCUCUAAAUGCUCCUCUUUCUCUCAAAGAGAACGAACAAAACCGUAUUUAGCUUCCUGUAAUUUUCAUGAACCUCAACUAGUCAUGCUCUGAGAUUAAUGAACAAAGCAAUACAUCAUAUCUAUUUUCAUUUGAACAUAUUUCUAGAAAUUCUACCAACAUGUGAGUGGAGUAGACAUGGAGUGUCAGAUAGGUUCCAAUUAAACUUUGUUUUAGACCUCACUGAAACUCAAAUUUGCCCCCCUGUUUAACCCUUUAGUGUUUGCAUUAUUCUACUAAAAUUAAUCCUUUUUCAUCCACUUUGUUUUGAACUAAUUAUGCAUUAUCUUGUAGCUAUGAGAUUUUGAUGAGGUAGCUGUUAAUUUUUAAAACGAUAUUGUAGGAUUGGUGUGAGAGACCUGAUCUGGCCAGUUUGAACAUAAAACAGGCAGAAUACUUUUGGCCGGUUUAAAUGUUAAAGGGUUAAGCAAACCCCUAAACUGCUACACCAGUAAUAGUAUCAAUGCCACUUCACCCCCUUUUUUUUUCUUUAAUGUCUUUCAUCUGCACAAUUCACCAUCAUUACUUCCAAUUUCUUAACACCCCCGACAUUUCUGCCUUUAUCCACAUCAUCCAUCUCUCCACACUACAGAUCAACAAACUCUUGUUUUUGUCUCGACUAAGUUUCCUUCUUAACACUUUCAUCACUCAAUCUGCUUUCCCUUUUCACAUUUUCUUUGGUUCCAUUGCUUUUUACAGUCAGGACACCAGUUUUAAUUAUUUAAUCAAAGCAAAUGCAUCCAUUUUGCCUAUCAAAGUUACCCUGUACAAAUUGUGAAUGUAGACAAAUUACACCCUUGCUUUUAUUGUAUUAUAAUGUAUCUCGUUAAGAUGAUUUAAAUUUAAUGAAGUACUCUUGAAUUAUGAAAUUUUGCUCUAAAAUUACUUCUGGCUUCUUGCUGUAAAAUUCUUUUCCAAAUUCCUUUAAUUAAAAACAGUUUUUUAAUUUACUUCUAAGUUAAAAUGGCUUCUCUGAACUGUGAUAGAAAAAUAAUUUAAUCCUUUUGAUACCCCCUCACCUGAGAUCGUUUCUUGUUCUAUGUUUCAAGCUUUGUUUUAAAAAAAUUCUUAAAACCCUCCCCUUGAUUUCAUGUUAAUUUAUCUUCCAAAGCUCCAAUUUAUUUUCAAAAUUAAUUUGAACAAAAGGCAGCCAAUGUGUUUCAGUGAAAAUAUAGUAAGAGUGGAGGUACGUGGCUCAUUGGUUGAACUUCUGAUUGAAAGCUUCAUCGUUAUCAUUCUUUAACGUCCGUUUUGGAUGAUGAAGAAUUUUUCAAUUGUAAGUCCAACACCCUAACCACUAAGUCAUGUGCCUGGUGAUGUAUUGUGUUCUUGAGCAAGGCCUUUCAUUUCAUAUUGCUCCAGUCCGCUUGGCUGGCAAAGACAAGUAAUCCUGUGACAGACCAUCCCAUGCAAGAGGGGAAUAAAUAUAUACGACAGAAACUGGCCCUAGGGAUCUAUCCAUAUGAUUCUGGAAAGAUCCUUUAUCCAUUUUUGUAUGGUAACAACAGGAUCAGUUCAGAGUAAAACAUUUGUCCAGAAACUAAUAUGGUCUGGCAGCAGUCGAAGAAGAUUGGUUUUUAGCUUUGUCUUCCUCUUAUCUGUUUGGAUAAGUAUUUUGGAUCUCACUGUAUUUGUACUCGUUUUCUUUAUACACCUAAAUCAUACAAGUAACUAUUUAAGAUGUAAUCUCAGCCAGUAAGUAUACUGUUAAGUGUCCAUAAAUAUUAACCUGAUGUAGGUCUUAAGUUGUGAAAGAUUUUGCUUUUUGUCUUCUAGAAUAUAACAUCAUAAAAGAACAGAUUUCCAUCUGUUUAUAGAGGGUAGAAGGGGAAGAUAACAUAUCUUUAUAAGGCAAAGAGAAAAAGUUGAGAGAGAGAGUAUGUGAUAAUUACUAUGGCGACAACAAUACCUAACAAGUUUUGAUUAAAUGCAUGAUUGUGAGUGAGUCUGUCAACACAACGCAACACAGACCUAAAAAAAAAUAUCUAAAAUACAGUUAUCUUUUGAGUUGUUUGUGUCAACAUAUAGACAACACUGACUUUAAAAAGGACUUCACUAUAAUGACUUGUUGAGUGUGUGAAAGAUAGAAUUAAAAUUUGUUUCAAGAAAGAAAAAACAGGUUCUUAUUGAGCAUAUCAAUGUGAUCGCUGUUGUAGGCUUCUGAAGGAGAUGUAUUUCAUGUUGAUUAGGUUGUUACCCGGCAGCGUAGUGACAGGUUACGACUGGUAAUUUAUAAGAAUUUAAAAAAUUAGCUAGUUUAAUCCCUUAACAUAAUAAAGGACCAAUAAACUUAAUUGUUGGUUUACUUGGCAUCAACAUGAAUUCUGACAAUUGGUUAUCAGUGACUAGAAAGAAAUCAAGACUUAUAAUGUUUAAUAUAUAUAAAACAUUUAUUUCUCUGAGGUUUACAUUUGCUUUUGUUAAAGAAAGCAAAUUCUUGAAAGUUCUUAGCAGUUUUACAAUCACUUAUGCCAACUGAUAGCGUUACCAUUCUUUCAAUUCCUAAAUCCAUCAGGACGAGGUAGUUGAAGUGGUUUUGUGAGUUAUGGAUAGCAGAAAACUGCCAAAAUAUAGUGUUUUUUUUGCCCAAUUAUCUUAAAUGGAAAUGAAGUUCUAGUUCAGUUCCUCUUCCACCCCCUCCAACGAUAGAAUCAAUAAAGAACAUCUCCAAAAGUAAAUAGAUCAAUGUGAGUAAAAUUUUGAUUAAUUUCCAAUAAAACAUAUUUCAAUGAAUGAAGGCAGAUAUAAUUUAACAAUAACCCUGCAAAGAAACUUGUAACAUCCAGCUACAAAGUGAUAUCUUUAUAGACAAUUUCCUUUACAUUUGAAGAGAAAUAUCGAAGAUAUUACUUGCUACUAUUAAGGCAGCGAGCUGGCAGAACCAUUAUUAGCAGACCAGACAAAAUGCUCAUUGGUAUUUCUUCUGGCUUUAUGUUCUGAGUUUGAAUUCUGCCGAGGUCGACUUUGCCUUUUAUCGUUUCAGGGUUGACAAAAUAUGUAUCAUUUAAGCACUGGGGGGGUGAUUAAGGUAAUUAACUUGCACCACCCCUCAAAUGUUCAGGCCUCAUACCUAUAAUAGAGAGGAUUAUUGUUUUGUGACUCUGGUCUCUAUUGAAUUAAAUAGUUUACACUGCUUAGAGGGAGGCAAAAAA